This 305-nucleotide ribosomal RNA is filed under the name uncultured bacterium. RNAcentral describes it as "bacterial SSU rRNA". It matches the Rfam family "Bacterial small subunit ribosomal RNA", at positions 335 to 638 of the family's 1533-position model. The record is from RNAcentral.
UUUCCUACGGGAGGCAGCAGUGAGGAAUAUUGGUCAAUGGGCGCGAGCCUGAACCAGCCAAGUAGCGUGAAGGAUGACUGCCCUACGGGUUGUAAACUUCUUUUAUAAAGGAAUAAAGUGAGGCACGUGUGCCUUUUUGUAUGUACUUUAUGAAUAAGGAUCGGCUAACUCCGUGCCAGCAGCCGCGGUAAUACGGAGGAUGCGAGCGUUAUCCGGAUUUAUUGGGUUUAAAGGGUGUGUAGGCGGUCCGGAAAGUCAGCGGUAAAAGCCCGGGGCUCAACCCCGGCGAGCCGUUGAAACUGUCG